This 68-nucleotide transfer RNA is filed under the name Escherichia coli. Its description in RNAcentral is "tRNA-Ser". It matches the Rfam family "tRNA". Rfam says of the family: Transfer RNA (tRNA) molecules are approximately 80 nucleotides in length. The record is from RNAcentral. Lineage: Bacteria; Pseudomonadati; Pseudomonadota; Gammaproteobacteria; Enterobacterales; Enterobacteriaceae.
GGAGAGAUGCCGGAGCGGCUGAACGGACCGGUCUCGAAAACCGGAGUCAAAUCCCCCUCUCUCCGCCA